UUUCAGCGCGACAUCUAAACGCGUAAAAUACGCUCAGCGCCAGACGGGCGAGUAACGCGUGGUAACGUACCUUUUGGUUCGGAACAACACACGGAAACUUGUGGUAGUGCCGGACAAGCCCUUCCGGGGAAACAUUUAUCGCCGAAAGAUCGGCCCGAGUCUGAUUAGCUAGGUGGCGAGGUAAUGACUCACCAAGGCGACCAUCACUAGCUGGCCUGAUAGGAUGAUCAGCCACAUUGGGACUGAGACACGGCCCAAACUCCUACGGGAGGCAGCAGUGGGCAAUAUUGUACAAUGGGGGCAACCCUGAUCCACCCAUGCCGCGGGAGUGAUGAAGGCCCUAGGGUUGUAAAGCUCUUUUGUGCCGUAAGAUAAUGACGGCACCGCUAGAAUAAGCCCCGGCUAACUUCGUGCCACCAGCCGCGGUAAUACGAAGGGGGCUAGCGUUGCUCGUAAUCACUGGGCGUAAAGGGCGCGUAGACGGGUCUUUAAGUCAGGCGUGAAAUCCUGGAGUUCAACUCCAGAACUGCCUUUGAUACUGAGGAUCUUGAGUUCCGUAGAGGUGAGUGUAACUGCGCAGUGUACAGGUGAAAUUCGCAUAUAUUCGCUAAGAACACCCGCUGGCGAAGGAAAGCUCACUUGGCCCGGAUACUGUACUCUGAUUACACCGAAAGCGCUGGCGGAGCAAAACAGGAAUCUAGAUUACCCUUGCGCAGGCCCCUUCCCGGAAACGAAUGAAAUGCCCCGCCCGCCUAGUGGAGCUUUUCCUCCCCUAAUGGGCGGAAUCUUUGCCGCUUUUU
RNAcentral lists this ribosomal RNA (800 nucleotides) under Bradyrhizobium sp. TSBF-534. RNAcentral's name for it is "bacterial SSU rRNA". It matches the Rfam family "Bacterial small subunit ribosomal RNA". The record is from RNAcentral. Lineage: Bacteria; Pseudomonadati; Pseudomonadota; Alphaproteobacteria; Hyphomicrobiales; Nitrobacteraceae.